GACGAACGCUGGCGGCGCGCCUAACACAUGCAAGUCGAACGAGAGAGGAAGAGCUUGCUUUUCCGAUCGAGUGGCGAACGGGUGAGUAACGCGUGAGGAACCUGCCUCAAAGAGGGGGACAACAGUUGGAAACGACUGCUAAUACCGCAUAAGCCCACGGCUCGGCAUCGAGCAGAGGGAAAAGGAGCAAUCCGCUUUGAGAUGGCCUCGCGUCCGAUUAGCUAGUUGGUGAGGUAACGGCCCACCAAGGCGACGAUCGGUAGCCGGACUGAGAGGUUGAACGGCCACAUUGGGACUGAGACACGGCCCAGACUCCUACGGGAGGCAGCAGUGGGGAAUAUUGCACAAUGGGGGAAACCCUGAUGCAGCGACGCCGCGUGGAGGAAGAAGGUCUUCGGAUUGUAAACUCCUGUUGUUGAGGAAGAUAAUGACG
This 433-nucleotide ribosomal RNA is filed under the name uncultured bacterium. RNAcentral describes it as "bacterial SSU rRNA". It matches the Rfam family "Bacterial small subunit ribosomal RNA", at positions 28 to 456 of the family's 1533-position model. The record is from RNAcentral.